UGGCGUAUAGCUCAGUUGGUAGAGCGUCCGGCCGUUAACCGGAAUGUGGCAGGUUCGAUUCCUGCUAUGCCAG
Molecule: transfer RNA, 73 nt
Filed under: Blautia producta
Lineage: Bacteria; Bacillati; Bacillota; Clostridia; Lachnospirales; Lachnospiraceae
Description: tRNA-Asn
Rfam family: tRNA
About the family: Transfer RNA (tRNA) molecules are approximately 80 nucleotides in length.
Source: RNAcentral